UACGGAGGGUGCGAGCGUUGUCCGGAAUUACUGGGCGUAAAGCGUGCGCAGGCGGCUUUGCAAGACAGAUGUGAAAUCCCCGGGCUCAACCUGGGAACUGCAUUUGUGACUGCAAGGCUAGAGUACGGUAGAGGGGGAUGGAAUUCCGCGUGUAGCAGUGAAAUGCGUAGAUAUGCGGAGGAACACCGAUGGCGAAGGCAAUCCCCUGGACCUGUACUGACGCUCAUGCACGAAAGCGUGGGGAGCAAACAGG
Molecule: ribosomal RNA, 253 nt
Filed under: uncultured bacterium
Lineage: Bacteria
Description: partial 16S ribosomal RNA
Rfam family: Bacterial small subunit ribosomal RNA
Source: RNAcentral